GAUGAACGCUAGCGGCAGGCCUAACACAUGCAAGUCGAGGGAGAAGCCCUUUCGGGGGCCGAAACCGGCGCACGGGUGCGUAACGCGUAUGCAACCUACCUUUCACCGGGGGAUAGCCCGAAGAAAUUUGGAUUAAUACCCCAUAAUAUUAUUGGAUGGCAUCAUUUGAUAAUUAAAACUGCGGUGGUGAAUGAUGGGCAUGCGUCCUAUUAGCUAGUUGGAGUGGUAACGGCACCCCAAGGCUACGAUAGGUAGGGGUCCUGAGAGGGAGACCCCCCACACUGGUACUGAGACAGGGACCAGACUCCGACGGGAGGCAGCAGUGAGGAAUAUUGGGCAAUGGUCGGAAGACUGAACCAGCCAUGCCGCGUGCAGGAAGAAUGCCUUAUGGGUUGUAAACUGCUUUUAUAUGGGAAGAAUAAGGCGUACGUGUACGUUGAUGACGGUACCAGAUGAAUAAGCAUCGGCUAACUCCGUG
RNAcentral lists this ribosomal RNA (478 nucleotides) under uncultured bacterium. Its description in RNAcentral is "partial 16S ribosomal RNA". It matches the Rfam family "Bacterial small subunit ribosomal RNA", at positions 28 to 507 of the family's 1533-position model. The record is from RNAcentral.